AUGGUGUCAACCUGUCCCAAGCGACCCGGAAACCCCGGUGUGCUCAUAUUAUUGACACUGCCGUUGCUUCUCUUGGGUGCUAUCAAAAUCAAUUGUGCAACGCUCCCCGACAACAGCACAGAUGUGCUCUGGCUGCAAGCUUUCAGACAUGAAAUCACUUCUGAUCCCUUUGGAUGGUUCAACUCUUGGAACUCCAGCGCCAACCAUUGCUUGUGGCCGGGAGUGAUAUGCAGCCGAGCACAUCCAGGGCGUGUGGUGGCUCUCCAACUCUUUGGCCUAUACCUGGCUGGCCAAAUCAGCUCUUCCAUUGGGAACCUUACAUUUCUCAGAACCCUGAACCUAUCCACAAAUGGUUUUUCUGGCCGAUUACCUCCUUUGAAACAUCUACAAAAACUUCAAGUCCUCGACCUAAGUGUCAACCAGUUGCAGGAUAGUAUCCCAGAUGCAAUCACCAACUGUUCCAACUUAAGGAUAGUGGACCUAGCUACAAACAUCUUGGUAGGUGAAAUCCCUCCAAAAUUAAGCCUCCUUUACAACCUCUCGCAUUUACGACUUUCUCGGAAUAAUCCCAUCGGGGUCAUCCCGCCAACCCUCGGAAACAUCACUAGCAUACAAAGACUUGGCCUUGCCUACAAUAAUCUAACUGGAACUAUUCCCGAUGAGCUUGGGAAACUGACAAAUAUGAGGAUGUUGGCCCUUGGAGGAAAUAGGUUGUCAGGUGGAUUCCCACGGUGUCUCUUCAACCUUUCUAAAUCUCUUCAAGUAUUAGGCUUGGAGUCGAAUAUGCUAAGCAAGCAACUGCCACCUAAUAUAGGAGAUGCCCUACCAAACCUGCAAGAGCUUUAUUUGAAUACCAACGUGUUUGAAGGUCGAAUUCCGGGUUCACUGGGCAAUGUUUCGGGGCUGGGAACGAUACAGUUAGAAAUCAACAGAGCUAUUUUACGGUACCAUGGUACUCCCAAAACAUGUGCUGGAGUACCGAACAGAUCUUGCCGUUCGUUGUGA
Molecule: ribosomal RNA, 1005 nt
Filed under: Triticum aestivum (bread wheat)
Lineage: Eukaryota; Viridiplantae; Streptophyta; Magnoliopsida; Poales; Poaceae
Description: partial small subunit ribosomal RNA
Source: RNAcentral